GAAUUUUCAACAAAACCCUGGGAGAGCUGUCCUGGAGAAUUGGGAUUGUUCAUCCUGCAGAGAAGCGCUGGGUGACCCAAUUGUGACCACAAAAAAGAUGGACAGAGACUGUUUACAAGAGCCUGGAGUGACAGGACAGUAUUUUGGAGCUCAGAAAUCUGUUCCAGGGAUGUGUUGCCUUCCAUCCCUUUAACAUUUAAAUUUUGUGUGUGAGUCUCACAUCAGGCAGCAGCAGUGCUGUUUGUCCCUGAAUUGUCAUUUGCUGUCCCCAGUGAUAGCUGGAUGAUAAUGGCCAUAUUCUGGUGGAGUGGGACACCCAAAAGAAAUACUCUAACAGAAUUAAAUGUGAGAAAUAGAUGACUGGUGCCCCUUGCAGCAGGGAGAACUCUUGCAGAGAUAGCUCAGGAUAUGGCUGCAGAAUGGAAAGUGUGGAGACACUGCUCAUAAACCAGAGAAGUGACAAUCAGUGGUUUUAUUUGUGUAUUCCCCACAGUCACUGCUCAUAAACCAGAGAAGUGACAAUCAGUGGGUUUAUGUGUGUAUUCCCCACAGUCAUGUUGACUUUAAUGGCAAUUUUAGGUGCUGUCAAUGAAGAAUUUUUAUCAUAUUUACACAAAUAGCUGUAUUUAUAGAUCUCCACAUGCGUGAGUAGAUGGAUGUGUGUGCAUUGGUGUAUAAAACCCCACAAAACCACAGCUGCUUGGUCUGCCUGCUGGAAAUUUAUUCUGAUAAUAUCACAGUGCACUUGCUACAUAUUCCAAGGGAUUUUAUUUGUUUGUGCUUUUUGUAGGUGCUACAAAAGUAGCUGGAUUUGGGGAUUCAAGCAGAUGCAAAAAUCCAGGGUUGGCCAGAUCAAGGGUUCAGCUUGAGAGGUGUGGAAUUCAGAGCUGGAUCCCUGCAGCAGCUCUGGGGCAGGGAUUCUGCUCCUCUGCCCCUGAGCUGCCUUUUGACUCAUCUCAGCCUUGGCAAGAAACUCCCAUUUGAGCCUUUGGCUCUCCUUCCUUCCAAGGGGGAAUAUUUAGGUCAGUACAGACACCUGAGUUCCCCAGUCCUCGAGGAACCAACAGGAUCGUGGGCAAGUUCCCCUGGCUGUUACUGGAGGGGUCGUUUUGGAAAUGCUUUAGGGCAGGGACCUCGGAUUGGAGCUGCAGGUGCUUCCAUCUGGACAUUUGGACACGUGGGACAGAAAUGGGGGAGCUGCUGGGUGAGACGGGCACUCAGAGUCCUCAAGAAAACAGGUGAGGGCUGCUGGCUGCUGCAGAAAGGGACCUCAGUGCCCUGGGUGUGGUCCCAGCCUGGCUGGCAAAUUGCUCCUGCCUGGGGCAGCCCCAUGCAGACAGGGCUGCACAACAAAGGAGCUGGGAGGGUUUGUGUUCAGCACUAAAACCCUUCCUGGCAGCAGCAGAAAGGCUGGAACCCAGCUCUGGAGAGCUCUGCUCGAGUCCUGGCCGCUGCAGC
Molecule: long non-coding RNA, 1458 nt
Filed under: Ficedula albicollis (Collared flycatcher)
Lineage: Eukaryota; Metazoa; Chordata; Aves; Passeriformes; Muscicapidae
Description: lncRNA (ENSFALG00000026984.1)
Source: RNAcentral